Long non-coding RNA from Vigna unguiculata (cowpea), 2003 nucleotides. RefSeq lists it as uncharacterized. The record is from RefSeq and is a predicted model, not a curated record. NCBI's taxonomy places the organism in Eukaryota, Viridiplantae, Streptophyta, Magnoliopsida, Fabales, Fabaceae.
AAGUGGGGGUGAAAAUGUUAAUUUCACUCUGAAUAGAAUUAUGAUUUUCGAUGUUUUGAAAGAAAAUACUGCAUAAUUUAUACGAUCAUCUGAAAUUAGACAUACCAAAAGUUCACUCUUUUAUUCUCAAGAACUAAAUAUAUGUAUUUAUGCAUCAUGAAUGAACUUGUAGCAGUGAGGAAAAUCCCUCUUCUCUCUCUCUCUCUCUCUCUAUGGUUCAUAGUUGUUUCCCAAGUAAAAAAGGGCUCUGAAAUCUGCAUCCAAAGAAAGUGUGCCUCAAAGCACCAACCCCUAUGCAAAUUGACUCACACCUCUCAUUGACCAUCCUCAUUUUCAGAGCUCAGACUUCAAGGUUACGCCACAUCCAAUUAAAAAACAGACAAUCCUCACACAAGUUUCAUUGAAUGAAAAGGGUGCCAAAAGGGGUGAAAAAGGAAGCUGCAUCAGAUCUUUGUGUUUACCUUUGUCUAUUAGGCUUUGUUUGGUUUGCCCUUUUUAAUCAGAUCCACAAAGGAAGCUCGUUUGGCUUUUGCUGUCUAUGGACUUUUAAGAAUGUCACAGUUUAUCCAUGCAUGAUCUGUGCAGUGAGACCAUGAGGCUGGUGGGUUUGGCUUGUUUCUUUCUACUGAUGCUGCUUCUGCUGCUGUUACAGAGCUUUUCUUCUGCCACUGAGGAGUCAGGAAAAUUUCAACACUUUAAAACUGGGUACAUGUCCAAGUUCAAUUCCGUUCAAGAUAAACAAGGUUUUAGGCAGAAUUCAGGUGAGGGUGGUAGUGAGGCAAUUCUAGGUGAUGAGAAAAGAAAAAUCUACACAGGUCCUAAUCCUUUGCAUAACAGAUAAGUGGAACAUUCAUUCAGAUCUUUUGGCCUUUUCUUCUUUAGUGUUUUAAGCUCUUACAUUGAUAAGAAACGAGAAAGUUGAUCAACAUACAAAGUAAAAUUUCUACGGAUCGAGCUCUUGAAGGUUUUGGGUUGGAAUUAGUUAGUUCCUUGUGUAAAUUGAGUUUAGUCUAGUUGGUGCUAUGUCUCCCCCCAAUAAAUUAUCUCCUGAAUAGACCUAUCACUUAUGUAGAGUAUUUUCUUCACUUUUUCACAUGUUCUUGUUAGAAUAAGCUGUUAGUUUUGAUAGAUUAGUUUCUUCUGGUCCUGUAGCUUUUAGUUACAUGUAACAACUCCAUACUAAAGAAAACAAUUUUGACUCCAGAGCAAUUGUUUUACACUAUUUUUUUCCAAAUCCAUUAAAUAAGAACAGAUAUAUAUGACUGUGUGCUGUCGCAGUGACUGUUUGAAAUCUUCUGUCAAGGUUUUUUAUUAGUUUCUUCAAAAGUGCAUUCAUAUGGGAAUUGGAUUUGUGCAAAGUUUUACAUGCCAAGGCUAUUUAUUUAUCAGACAAUUAAUCUUGUAAUCAGAGGGAAGCUUUACACUUGGUACUGAUGUGAUUUCAAAUUUUGAUAACAGUUCAGAAAUUAGAUUCAGAAUGGGUUUACCCUUUAUCACUACCACCUCGUAGCACAUGAAUUUUGAUGCUGGAAUCAUACUCAUACUUUGGUGAAAUAUGAGAAUAAGACCUCAACGCUGAUUCUGAUCCAGCCGUCAACCCUUUCUCCCUCUCACGAAGAGCUCUGCUAGGGUUAGGUUUCUGCCAUCUUCAAGCUAGCUCGAAGCUGUUCUCUACUCCAUUACCCUUUCAGCUCCUCUAUUCGUCCUUGAGCUGCUGUGUUCGCACGCUUGGCUGCCGAAGUCUCUUAUUUCCCUUCCAGAUGGGCGAGGUUCCAGAAGUCAGCAAGGAAGUGGAGAUUCUGGUGCAUAGUCCGUGUGGACUAGUUAUUAUUUUUGCAUGAGUUCAUUUAGGGUUGCGACCCAUGUAUCUGUUCGUCCUUAGUUUUAUGCACUAUGGUUAACUUUUCCUCUAGUUUCUUUUGGGCAUCGUGGUAUGCCAUGGGUUGUAUAGAGUUGAUCCCAAACCGCGUUUUUAUGUUAUCUUUAUUGUGACAUUCCUUUAA